RNAcentral lists this ribosomal RNA (427 nucleotides) under uncultured bacterium. RNAcentral's name for it is "bacterial SSU rRNA". It matches the Rfam family "Bacterial small subunit ribosomal RNA", at positions 355 to 775 of the family's 1533-position model. The record is from RNAcentral.
UGGGGAAUUUUGCGCAAUGGGCGAAAGCCUGACGCAGCGACGCCGCGUGGGUGAUGAAGGCCUUCGGGUUGUAAAGCCCUGUGGGGAGGGAAGAAUAAGGGGCGGCUAAUACCCGCACCGAUGACGGUACCUCCUUAGCAAGCACCGGCUAACUCUGUGCCAGCAGCCGCGGUAAGACAGAGGGUGCAAACGUUGUUCGGAAUUACUGGGCGUAAAGCGCGUGUAGGCGGUCUAGCAAGUCGGAUGUGAAAGCCCUUGGCUCAACUGAGGAAGUGCAUUCGAAACUGCGAGACUUGAGUCCCGGAGAGGAUGGUGGAAUUCUCGGUGUAGAGGUGAAAUUCGUAGAUAUCGAGAGGAACACCGGUGGCGAAGGCGGCCAUCUGGACGGUGACUGACGCUGAGACGCGAAAGCAUGGGGAGCAAACAG